AUUGAACGCUGGCGGCAUGCCUAACACAUGCAAGUCGAACGGGGUAGCAAUACCCAGUGGCGGACGGGUGAGGAAUACAUAGGAAUUUGCCUUUAGGGUGGGGGAUAGCCCGGGGAAACUCGGAGUAAUACCGCAUGAUGUCGAAAGACCAAAGCAGGGGAUCGCAAGACCUUGCGCCCUUAGAGAAGCCUAUGUCUGAUUAGCUAGUUGGUAGGUAAUGGCCUACCAAGGCGACGAUCAGUAACUGGUCUGAGAGGACGAUCAGUCACACCGGAACUGAGAC
RNAcentral lists this ribosomal RNA (283 nucleotides) under uncultured bacterium. Its description in RNAcentral is "partial 16S ribosomal RNA". It matches the Rfam family "Bacterial small subunit ribosomal RNA", at positions 30 to 325 of the family's 1533-position model. The record is from RNAcentral.